Molecule: ribosomal RNA, 264 nt
Filed under: uncultured archaeon
Lineage: Archaea
Description: partial 16S ribosomal RNA
Rfam family: Archaeal small subunit ribosomal RNA
Source: RNAcentral
AGACGUCUACAUUAGAUACCCCGGUAGUCCCAGCCGUAAACUAUGCGCGUUAGGUGUAUCGGUGACCACGAGUUACCGAGGUGCCGAAGGGAAACCGUGAAACGUGCCGCCUGGGAAGUACGGUCGCAAGGCUGAAACUUAAAGGAAUUGGCGGGAAGCACCACAACAGGUGGAGCCUGCGGUUUAAUUGGACUCAACGCCGGGAAGCUCACCGGAUAGGACAGCAGAAUGAUUGCCGGGCUGAAGACCCUGCAUGACUAGCUG